AGUCGAGCGGAAGGCCCUUCGGGGUACUCGAGCGGCGAACGGGUGAGUAACACGUGAGCAACCUGCCCCAGGCUUUGGGAUAACCCCGGGAAACCGGGGCUAAUACCGGAUAUGACCUUGCACCGCAUGGUGUUUGGUGGAAAGUUUUUCGGCUUGGGAUGGGCUCGCGGCCUAUCAGCUUGUUGGUGGGGUGAUGGCCUACCAAGGCGACGACGGGUAGCCGGCCUGAGAGGGCGACCGGCCACACUGGGACUGAGACACGGCCCAGACUCCUACGGGAGGCAGCAGUGGGGAAUAUUGCACAAUGGGCGGAAGCCUGAUGCAGCGACGCCGCGUGAGGGAUGACGGCCUUCGGGUUGUAAACCUCUUUCAGCAGGGACGAAGCGUAAGUGACGGUACCUGCAGAAGAAGCGCCGGCCAACUACGUGCCAGCAGCCGCGGUAAGACGUAGGGCGCGAGCGUUGUCCGGAUUUAUUGGGCGUAAAGAGCUCGUAGGCGGCUUGUCGCGUCGACCGUGAAAACCUGGGGCUCAACCCCAGGCCUGCGGUCGAUACGGGCAGGCUAGAGUUCGGUAGGGGAGACUGGAAUUCCUGGUGUAGCGGUGAAAUGCGCAGAUAUCAGGAGGAACACCGGUGGCGAAGGCGGGUCUCUGGGCCGAUACUGACGCUGAGGAGCGAAAGCGUGGGGAGCGAACAGGAUUAGAUACCCU
Molecule: ribosomal RNA, 709 nt
Filed under: uncultured Micromonospora sp.
Lineage: Bacteria; Bacillati; Actinomycetota; Actinomycetes; Micromonosporales; Micromonosporaceae
Description: bacterial SSU rRNA
Rfam family: Bacterial small subunit ribosomal RNA
Source: RNAcentral